CUUUCUCUCUAAGGUUCACCCAUAAUUCUAAUGUUGGUGCCUUUUUCUAUUUUCCACCUACAUCCAUUCAUAAGUACUUAAGGCUAUGUUUGGAUUGAUGGUACAUAACGGAAUGGAGCGGAAUGGAAUAAGAUGGAAUGGAGCGGAGCGGGAUGGAAUGGAGCAUAAAAUGUAUUCCAUUGUUUGGACAUUUUGUAUUCCAUCCCAUACACCCCAAAUUGGAGGGGAAGAAAAAUAAGAGAAAAUGAUGGAAUGGGAUGUGAAAUUCCUGGCACACAGUGGACAGGUGUUGCUCAAGGUGUAGCAACACUUGUCUGUUGUAGACAGAUGUUGGUACUAGUGCGCCAACACUUGUCUAUAAACAGAGUAAAUAACAUAAAACAAUACAAACAGUAAAGUAAAUAACACACG
Molecule: long non-coding RNA, 411 nt
Filed under: Trifolium pratense (red clover)
Lineage: Eukaryota; Viridiplantae; Streptophyta; Magnoliopsida; Fabales; Fabaceae
Description: long non-coding RNA (TPRA_LNC002110)
Source: RNAcentral